GGGUUGGAAGAAACUUUAAAUAUCAUCUAGUUCCAAUUCAUUAUCAAGGACAGAGACAUGAAUAAUAAUAAUAAUAAUGGAUCACAAAAAGAGGAGCUUUGGUUUUGAAUCAAAGCAUGACUGUCAACUGCUUGAUACCAGUGUUGCCAUGUUUGGCAAUUUUGCAAACAAUACCAUGUUUAAUCAUCAUUUGUUGGAGGAGGAACAAAGAAAUAUGAGGCUGUGUCCUGACAAGACACAAACUUUACAGUUCACCACACCACAUCAUUUUUCUCAAUUCAUAUUACCAACCCAUGGCAUUCUGAAGGACUAGCAAUCCUUCCCUCAACUUUGGGAAGGAUUAGUACUUAAAGACCAAGGUAGUAUCACUGUGUGGAAGAAAGUUUCAUAGUAAAAAGGACAUGGGAACUCUUGGCAUUUAUCCCAUGGAUAGUGAUGAAGCUUUGUUUUUUGAAUAUGAUUUGACACAUUCUAAGUCAGUAGGAAGUAACAUUUUGUAGCUUUUAUUGAUUUUCACAAUGGAAUUCUGAAGCAUUUCCGUUUUAUUAUUUUUGACACUUGAGAUAGCUUUAUACUAUACAUAUAAUAAUAAUAUAAAUUAUGAUAAAAAUAUAUCAGUAGUAAAUGAAUUAAUGCAUUUGUAUUGUAGUAAAUAAUGGCAUCCUGUUGUACUAAAUACCGGAUAGAUAUAAUUAAGAAGAUUGAUUUUCUCAGAGACCUCCCCUUUUCACUUAUAUUUUCUGAAUUUAUAAAAAUUAAUUCCCAAUUAGCUAUAUUGGUAUUUAAUUCAAAAUGUUAACCUGGCAAGAACAAUUUUUCCUGGAAUAUUUGGCAAAAUAUUCUGGUGUUCUUCUGGCCUAACACAUCCUGAGAUAUAAACAAUAUAAUUUGUUGGAAAGAUGAAAAUUGAUAUUUAAAAAAUGGGUAUUUGGGUUUGAUUUUAUGGUUGUGGGGCAGAGAUUUGUUUCCUUAUUUUCCUAUAGCUAGGUUUCAUGACAUCAAAGGUCAUGUUAGAGAAAUAGUGUCUAGAAAUAGAUGGGCAGUAAUGGUUCAAAUGUUCAAGGAGAGAAAUGGAUGCUGACAAUGAAUGCUGCAUAUAAAAUAUGAAGGACCUUGUGUUCACAAGAGUCAAAGUGAGAAAGAGUAUAAGAAUUAAUUUUUAGAAUUUUAUUAAGCUUAACUUGCUCAAAUUUCAGCUUAUGAAGAAAAAUUUUUCCCACAGUGGCUUUGUGUUUUCAAAAGGCCUUAUUUUUAGCUAAAGCAAUCAACACUUGUGGCUCUGCUGACACAUUUUGUGAUGAGGAACAGAGGCUUGUUGACAGGGAAAUCUUGCAGCAUGGUUGUGUCCACUAUUUCUGAGAACAUGGAUAUUUCUGGAAUGAGAGAGUCGGAUAGGGCCAUCUUGGAGCUGCAGGUUGUGAAGCAUGCGAGGAAGCCAUCCAGCCUCCUGCUUAGCUGUUCACUCACAAGGAAUGUCACCCAACGUUCCCAGCUGCAAGCUCUGUCUCACAGAUGGUGCCACCCACACAUUGCAGAGAGGCCCAGGAGUGUGACAAUAACUCUGCUACACUGGCUGUUGUGAAUUAGCUGGUGCUGCCACUUUGUUCAGUAUCGUGGCUACCUUCCAUAUGGUGCCAUGGAAUAAUCCCUUACCUAACAAAUCCCGUGAAGUCCAGCCUGAAUUGACCAGAAUAAGAUCUACCUGGGUCACUUUCACACAAGCUACUGUUACACAAUUUUCCAUGCACUGCUUAUUCUCUGAAUUUCCUCAUGGAGCAAGCAGAAUUGCAUGAUGGAGGUUAGGGUGAAGCAGUAGUUGUUGAACAUCUUUCAAAACUUCCAGCCUGGAUGGGCCCAUUUCACCAGCCCCUUGUUUUGGCUAUUUCUACAGUAGCCAUGGUUUCCAACAUUCCCACUGUCUGGUCACUCGAAGCUCUGCACUUAACAGAGAAAUAAACAGGGCAGUGUUUGCUCAGAAUUACAGGAACGACUGUAUUUUUGAUAGACCAAAUUAUAAUGGCAGUUGUGCUGGGAGAUUGUGCCAUCAGCAUCCUGUGUCAGUCAAAGUAAAACACCUUUUUAUCAGGCUUCACAGACUGAAAGCAACUUGUGGCCUCACCUCUCCCAACUGGCAAACAUAAAACUGAAGCAGCCUUGGCAUGUUAUAUAUGUGGGAGAUUGAACCAUGAUAAAGCAGGAGGACAGUAUCCAGCUUGGCAAGCCCUGGAGGCAUGCAUCUGUUCUCAGGCUGAGCCAUCCAGUGCCAUCUCAAGCUCUGAACACUCCUUCUUCCCUGGCACCACAGGAGAAGCUCAUUAUGUAGUACUAUCCAUUUUCCUCAACAUGUCCCCCAAGGUAUGGAAUGAAAUGGCCAAGUUACCUUCAUUGCAGAGGUAAUUAUCUGCAUUUCAUCCAGCAAUAAGGCUUUAGCAGAAAUACAAAUGGAGCAGAUUUGGUCUAUUGAGCAGAAAAGGGAAAAAUGAUGAAAUGUAACAGCUCAAUUUUGUUUGAUACCCUGCUGCUGUUCCUCCAUCUCCAUCUCAGUUUAAUUCCAGCCUCAGUAUUCCAAUAUAAACAGCUCAGUGGCUUUUGCUACAAACUGAGCCCUUACUGAGGUACUCACAGCCUGGAGCUAAGGGGUCUGAGGCUUUUCUAGGCCCCUACAGCUGAUGUAGGGCAUGGCUUAAGGGUUGUUAUGUAACUUCACAAGUGCUGACCCUCAUUAACAUUGUCAUUUGCAGCAAAGGCAUAAUUACAGUCUAGAUUUUAGGCAUUUUUUCAUAAAUGUUGUUGCUGAUUGCCCUGUGUGCAUACUCUGCCUCGUGUGCUCUGCCUUCUCCAUGCAUCGCUCUUCAGUGGGAAAUGUUUCCAGCUACACGAGCAACUGACAUGCAGGCACAGCCACAUCACAUCCUGGGGAUAAUUUUAAGUCUGUUGUAAAGACCAGACUUAAUCUCUGUGCAAACUGUAGCUCUCCCGGUGUAGGUGGCAGGUGGGAUUGGAAAUAUAUUUUGCAUUUUGUGUCUUGGUUUAGCACUGGUCAGGCCCAGAGAGGCCUCAAUGUACAUCAAGUGGACAGGGCUUUUGGAACCUGUCAACCACAGUAGACAGACUACAGACAGAGCUUCCUUCACAACAGCCAUGUGCCAAGAACAUGCCGACAACCCUCUUCCAUUUCUCAUCCCCAGUCAUGCUUUUUAAGCAGAAAAGUUAGAAAAUUGUAUAAUUUUUAUGCCCUGUAUUUAUUUUAAACUACAUUCUUUUGCACAGCAGGUGAAAAAAUGCCAGUUCAGAAAGCUGUCUUUGUAGUCAUAAAUUGUUCCUUUGAGUAUUUAAAGAAAGAUGUGCUUAUCAAAGUUGAAAUAAAAGUUUAUUAUCAAGUAACACUUAACAUUAAAAUUACAUUUUAUAAUUAAAUUUUAUUUUGGCUCUGCUGCGUGCCAGAAAGCAUGAAGGAGUGUUUGUUAUGCUUUCGGCAGAACUUCCCUGGGAAUGAUUGUCCUGUGCUGGCUGGGCAAUGGGUGUUUGACAGCAACCCUGUGGAGAAAGACUUUGGGAUAUUGGUGGCUAAAAAACCAUUAAGAUGAGCUGUCACUGUGCAUUCACAGCCGCAAAAGCCAAAUGUUUUCUGUGGCCAUCAGGUUGACAGAGGUGAUUCCCGCCCUUGACUCUGCUCUCCUGGGACCCCAGCUGGAAUACUGUGAGCAGCUCUUGGGUUCCAGCACAGGAAAGUCAUGGACACGCUCAAGCAGGUCCCAAGGACAGUUGUGAUCAUGAUCAGGAGCCUGCAGCACCUCCCCCAUGAGAACACUGAGGGUUGGGAUUGUGUAGCCUGGCAAAGAGAAGGCUCUGUAAAAUCUUACAUCAGCCUUUCUGUACCUAGUGAGGGGUCUACAAGAAAGGUGGGGAGGAUUUCCUAGGGAUUGGAGGAAUAGGAUAGGGGUAAUGCUUUAAACCAGAAUAGCGUAGGUCUAAACCUUAGAUUUAGGGAAGAAAUUCUUCACUGUGAAACUAGUGAGACACUGGAACAAUGUCCACUUCUCCACAGCAGAGAAGUUGUGGAAGACACAUUCCUGGCAGUGUUCAUGGUCUUGUUGAAUGGGGCUUUGAGAAACCCUGUCUAAUGUCCCUGUCCAUGACCAUGGGUGUAUGAACUAGGUGGUCUUUGAAGGUGCCUUCUCACCCAAACCACUCACUGUGAGGGUUCAAUGAUGAUGAAAAUAAUUCUUCCAGGUACUCAGUUAGAAAGGUCCAACAGCAGCUGGCUUAAUAAAACAGCUGUUUUCAUAAAAUAGAAUGAAUGAAUGAAUGAAUGAAUGAAUGAAUGAAUGAAUGAUAGAUACAUAGAUACAUAGAUACAUGGAUGAGCAUAUAUAACAAGAAAACUUUACAUCCUUUCAGAUGCUGGGAACUCUGCUUUUGUGCACCAUUAGGCAGACCUUGAAUGGAUCUUCCCACAGUGCAAUUGCAGAGCAAUUGGUUCAUCUUUUUGGUUCAUGGAGAGAGAGGGCUUUUCUUUUUUGUCCAUCAAGCAAUUGUAUAAAAUUUCUUACAAGGAAACAACUUUAUUUCUAAAGGAUGUUCAAAUGAGAGCUUCUUGCUAGGCUGUGAAAUAAAGUCCCAGUUUCAACCACUCAUAUUAGGAGGAUUAGUAGCAGGUGUAUAACUCCCUCUAAGAACCAGCUAAUCAGAAACAUAGCACUGAAGUAUUUUUCCUGAUGGAGGAGUCUUAACACUUUAGUGCUAAGCACUGAAGUUUUGCUCAGCUGCAGUACUUCUUGAUGUCCUGUUUUCCUGACUGCUUUCCAGUGUAGACUUAUGUUUCAUUGAAUAAAGAAUGCCAUUGAAAUACACUCCUCAAAUCAUUAUCCAACCAGGCUACCUGGUGUCAGAUAUGCACAUAACUACAUGCUACAAGUUCUCACCCUAAAGCUGAUCUAUACUGAUAUUGUGCAUAUAUAUUGCCCUGAAUAAGGACAUAAAGGACAAAUCCAGCUCUAAGUGGUGAUGCUGGACAAUUUUCAGUGACCACAGUGGGCAAUAAGAGCCAUUGGUCAACCCAAAGGAUUAAGUAAUAAGUAAGUCCAAGGGAAUAAGUCAAAAGAUUAUAGGAAAGCUUAAAUCAACUUGUUGGGGAGAAAAAGGAAAAGCACCAAGUCCCCCAUCAAUAAUAAUUAUUUACGGAAAUUUUGACAUUUUGUUAGAGUCACUGUAGGUAAAAUAUUUAAUGAAUUUUAAAUGCAUUUUACACUGAGCAAGGUUUUACCUUGAUCUGUUGUUCUUAUUUCUGCUUCCUUUUCCUACAUAUUAUUUCACAAGCAAAAUUCACAGUUUGUCUUUCAGACCGAGUAUAUUUCUCCUUUUGGUGAAAAAGAAACAGUGAGGUCAGAUGGCUUGGUUCCCCAGUAAGUAGAGUGCAACCUUUUUUUUCAGAGAUGUGGGAAACCACACACAUGAACAACAGGAGGAGAGAAAGAGUAAAUAGUACUCUUCACAUGCAAGCUUUAUUUGCAAAACAUACUGAGCUAUCUGAGAGGCACAACUACAAAAUCUAGGGGACAGUGGUAUUAAUAAGGCACUAAAUGAAAAAAAUUAUUUAAUCUGCACACCUUUUCUAAUAUAUCUUUCUCUAAAUCUGCUUUCAGAAUUUAUAAUCACAGCUGUAAAGACAGAAAGUGCUAAAGCAAAUGCAGCUCUCACUGAUGCAUGUCACAGGGCAGGCUGUGAUAGUUUUAAAUCACAACAGUGUAGGAUGUAGUCAUGGAAAAAAACCCCAAAUCUGAUUAGAUGCAUGCAACAGCUUUGUCUACUUAAUAUCCAGACUGAGAAAUUAGUGUUCAUUAAGCAAACUGGUUUUAUUCCAGCAGUGGAAGUUUUCAAUUACUAGAGCUAGAUCAGAUCCAGGGAUAAUUUAGUAUCAGCACAUUUCUGAUUGAAGGCUUUGUGCCACAAAGCAUCUGACAAGGCUAAGAGGUUCUUUUCUUAUGCUAUUUCCUUACAAUUGAUUUCUCUCCCUGCUUUGCAUUUUCACAAAAUUAAUAUUUUAUCUUUGCUAAUUUAAUGCCAUUCUUACUUCUGCUUAUGUGUAAUUUCUUUCCUCUUGACCAAAAAAAAAAAAAAAAAAAAAAA
RNAcentral lists this long non-coding RNA (6129 nucleotides) under Taeniopygia guttata (zebra finch). RNAcentral's name for it is "lncRNA (ENSTGUG00000021405.1)". Lineage: Eukaryota; Metazoa; Chordata; Aves; Passeriformes; Estrildidae. The record is from RNAcentral.